AACGAACGCUGGCGGCAUGCCUAACACAUGCAAGUCGAACGAGACCUUCGGGUCUAGUGGCGCACGGGUGCGUAACGCGUGGGAAUCUGCCCUGGGGUGCGGAAUAACUCGGAGAAAUCCGUGCUAAUACCGCAUAAUGUCUUCGGACCAAAGAUUUAUUGCCCUGGGAUGAGCCCGCGUAGGAUUAGCUUGUUGGUGAGGUAAAGGCUCACCAAGGCGACGAUCCUUAGCUGGUCUGAGAGGAUGAUCAGCCACACUGGGACUGAGACACGGCCCAGACUCCUACGGGAGGCAGCAGUGGGGAAUAUUGGACAAUGGGCGAAAGCCUGAUCCAGCAAUGCCGCGUGAGUGAUGAAGGCCUUAGGGUUGUAAAGCUCUUUUACCCGGGAUGAUAAUGACAGUACCGGGAGAAUAAGCUCCGGCUAACUCCGUGCCAGCAGCCGCGGUAAU
This 450-nucleotide ribosomal RNA is filed under the name uncultured bacterium. RNAcentral's name for it is "bacterial SSU rRNA". It matches the Rfam family "Bacterial small subunit ribosomal RNA", at positions 29 to 524 of the family's 1533-position model. The record is from RNAcentral.